UCAUUCCGUGGUCAUUUGAGCCGGUCGGCUUGCCGCCACGUUAAACAAAGGGCUAAAAGAUCGGGGCU
Molecule: non-coding RNA, 68 nt
Filed under: uncultured Roseiarcus sp.
Lineage: Bacteria; Pseudomonadati; Pseudomonadota; Alphaproteobacteria; Hyphomicrobiales; Roseiarcaceae
Description: SAM riboswitch (alpha-proteobacteria)
Rfam family: Alpha-proteobacteria SAM riboswitch aptamer
About the family: This family is a riboswitch found predominantly in alpha-proteobacteria that binds S-adenosyl methionine (SAM). This SAM riboswitch is located upstream of the metA and metC genes in Agrobacterium tumefaciens, and other methionine and SAM biosynthesis genes in other alpha-proteobacteria. Like the other SAM riboswitch, it probably functions to turn off expression of these genes in response to elevated SAM levels.
Source: RNAcentral